CAAUCGGCCCUUUUCAGGGCCAACAAAACACUCUGUAAAUACGUCU
Non-coding RNA from Trachymyrmex cornetzi, 46 nucleotides. The record is from Rfam. NCBI's taxonomy places the organism in Eukaryota, Metazoa, Arthropoda, Insecta, Hymenoptera, Formicidae.